Long non-coding RNA from Sander lucioperca (pikeperch), 915 nucleotides. RefSeq lists it as uncharacterized. Lineage: Eukaryota; Metazoa; Chordata; Actinopteri; Perciformes; Percidae. The record is from RefSeq and is a predicted model, not a curated record. The transcript has 2 exons.
UGGUACGUCACCGACAAGGUGUACGCUAGAACUGGCUAAUUGCUAACAUGCUCACGGUGACUGCCGCUUUCGCUGAGGAACUUCUUACAUUCAGUCAGGACUUCCUGCUGCUUUUGAAAACUUUGAGGUGCACUAUGGGACCAGAGGGACUGAGUGGACUGGUUGUACUGGGACAGCGAGGCUCAGCUAGUGGACUGGUGGUAUUAUGUUUCGAAAAUGUACGACCGGAGAAGUUGAACCUGGAGCAGAUUGCGAUGCACGAGACUCGCGUUCACAUAGACGCUAAGGACGCUCUCCAAACACACCUGAGGCGCAUAUCCUAAUGAGGGGAGAUGCUGGAUUGGCACGAGGACGCUCUCCAAACACACCGGUAGCGCAUCUCCUAAUGAGGUGAGAUAGGAGCUAUGUGUUCUGAGGCUGAGAACGGGGGAUGGAGAUGUGGAAGAGCUCUGAGGUGGUGCAGAGCUAGUGGGCGGUCAGGAACUGCGGAGGCACCAUUGGAUGCGCAGGACGACGUGCAGUGGGACUGGCUUGGACGGCGGAGCUGGACGAGGACAGGACCUGAGGUGGUGCUGGUCUAGAUGGCGGUCGAGACCUGCGGUCAGAACCUGCGGAAACGCCCUUUGGGAGUGCAGGACGACGCGCAGUGAGACAUGCGAAGGACAGCGGCGCUGAACCCAGGAUUAAGGGGCAGGCUGUCGGACAGCAAGAAGUACGCUAGGCCACCAGCACUGCAUGUAUGCACCGACCACUAGGCGACAAUACGGGUGCCACUGUCCCCCUUCCCCAUGUGACAGGGUAAAGACUGAAGUCCCUCUAAAAAGAACCGACUGUUUUAUAGCUGUUUUAACUGUCAAAAAUAAAAUGUGUACUUUUGCUGCUGCUAGUAAAAUUAACCUAUAUAAAGACCAUUUU